Molecule: ribosomal RNA, 460 nt
Filed under: uncultured bacterium
Lineage: Bacteria
Description: partial 16S ribosomal RNA
Rfam family: Bacterial small subunit ribosomal RNA
Source: RNAcentral
CCUACGGGAGGCAGCAGUGAGGAAUAUUGGUCAAUGGCCGGAAGGCUGAACCAGCCAUGCCGCGUGAAGGUCAGUGCCCUAUGGGCGUUAAACUUCUUUUGUGCGGGAGCAAUAAUGGUCACGUGUGGCCAGACGAGAGUACCGUACGAAUAAGCAUCGGCUAACUCCGUGCCAGCAGCCGCGGUAAUACGGGGGAUGCAAGCGUUAUUCGGAUUUAUUGGGGUUAAAGGGUGCGUAGGCUGUGAGGUAAGUCAGCGGUGAAAUGCCCCCGCUCAACGGGGUGAAGUGCCAUUGAUACUGCCUUGCUGGAAUGCGGAUGCCGUGGGAGGAAUGUGUGGUGUAGCGGUGAAAUGCAUAGAUAUCACACAGAACACCGAUUGCGAAGGCAUCUCACGAAUCCGCGAUUGACGCUGAUGCACGAAAGCGUGGGUAUUAAACAGGAUUAGAUACCCCAGUAGUC